CCGGGAACUUCCGGUCCUUGCUGCACCCUUGUCUUUUGCGUACCGUAUGUUUCCUCGGCGGGCUUGCCUGCCGGUUGGACAUUAUCAAACCUUUUUGUAGUUGCAAUCAGCGUCAGAAAACAAACAAUAAUUACAACUUUCAACAACGGAUCUCUUGGUUCUGGCAUCGAUGAAGAACGCAGCGAAAUGCGAAAAGUAGUGUGAAUUGCAGAAUUCAGUGAAUCAUCGAAUCUUUGAACGCACAUUGCGCCCCUUGGUAUUCCAUGGGGCAUGCCUGUUCGAGCGUCAUUUUGUACCCUCAAGCACUGCUUGGUGUUGGGCGUUUGUCCUGCAAAGGACUCGCCUGAAAGCGAUUGGCGGCCAACGUACUGGUGGUAGAGCGCAGCACAAUUUGCGUCUCUCCCCUCUGCGUCGGCGUCCAUGAAGCCUUUUUUCAACGUUUGACCUCGGAUCAGGUAGGGAUACCCGCUGAACUUAAGCAUAUCA
This 486-nucleotide ribosomal RNA is filed under the name fungal sp. AM2013. Its description in RNAcentral is "eukaryotic LSU rRNA". The stretch from base 135 to 288 matches the Rfam family "5.8S ribosomal RNA". Lineage: Eukaryota; Fungi. The record is from RNAcentral.